CCUACGGGUGGCAGCAGUGAGGAAUAUUGGUCAAUGGACGAGAGUCUGAACCAGCCAAGUAGCGUGAAGGAUGACUGCCCUAUGGGUUGUAAACUUCUUUUAUAAAGGAAUAAAACGAGGCACGUGUGCCUUUUUGCAUGUAUUUUAUGAAUAAGGAUCGGCUAACUCCGUGCCAGCAGCCGCGGUAAUACGGAGGAUCCGAGCGUUAUCCGGAUUUAUUGGGUGUAAAGGGAGCGUAGACGGUGGGCCAAGUCAGUGGUGAAAUGCCGCGGCUUAACUGCGGAAGUGCUUUGGAUACUGGCGGGCUAGAGAGCAGGUGGGGUAGGCGGAAUUCCUGGUGUAGCGGUGAAAUGCGUAGAGAUCA
This 364-nucleotide ribosomal RNA is filed under the name uncultured bacterium. RNAcentral's name for it is "partial 16S ribosomal RNA". It matches the Rfam family "Bacterial small subunit ribosomal RNA", at positions 338 to 699 of the family's 1533-position model. The record is from RNAcentral.